UACGUAGGGUGCAAGCGUUGUCCGGAAUUACUGGGCGUAAAGAGUUCGUAGGCGGUUUGUCGCGUCGUUUGUGAAAACCAGCAGCUCAACUGCUGGCUUGCAGGCGAUACGGGCAGACUUGAGUACUGCAGGGGAGACUGGAAUUCCUGGUGUAGCGGUGAAAUGCGCAGAUAUCAGGAGGAACACCGGUGGCGAAGGCGGUUCUCUGGGCAUUACCUGACGCUGAGGAGCGAAAGUGUGGGGAGCGAACAGG
This 253-nucleotide ribosomal RNA is filed under the name uncultured bacterium. Its description in RNAcentral is "partial 16S ribosomal RNA". It matches the Rfam family "Bacterial small subunit ribosomal RNA", at positions 524 to 776 of the family's 1533-position model. The record is from RNAcentral.